RNAcentral lists this ribosomal RNA (619 nucleotides) under Bacilli bacterium. Its description in RNAcentral is "bacterial LSU rRNA". It matches the Rfam family "Bacterial large subunit ribosomal RNA", at positions 251 to 867 of the family's 2925-position model. Lineage: Bacteria; Bacillati; Bacillota; Bacilli. The record is from RNAcentral.
GAGCGAAACGGAAACAGCCCAAACCAGAGAGCUUGCUCUCUGGGGUUGUAGGACACUCCACAAGGAGUUACAAAGAAAUUCUUUAGAUGAAUCAACCUGGAAAGGUUAGCCAAAGAGGGUAACAGCCCUGUAAUCGAAAAAGAAUUUCCUCCGGAGUGGAUCCUGAGUACGGCGGAACACGUGGAAUUCCGUCGGAAUCCGGGAGGACCAUCUCCCAAGGCUAAAUACUCUCUAGUGACCGAUAGUGAACCAGUACCGUGAGGGAAAGGUGAAAAGCACCCCGGGAGGGGAGUGAAAGAGUACCUGAAACCGUGUGCCUACAAGUAGUCGAAGCGCGUUCAUGCGUAACGGCGUACCUUUUGUAGAAUGGACCGGCGAGUUACGAUUGUAUGCAAGGUUAAGUGGAAGACACGGAGCCGUAGCGAAAGCGAGUCUGAAUAGGGCGAUUUAGUAUGCGGUCGUAGACCCGAAACCGUGUGAUCUACCCAUGUCCAGGGUGAAGGUCAGGUAACACUGACUGGAGGCCCGAACCCACGUAUGUUGAAAAAUGCGGGGAUGAGGUGUGGGUAGGGGUGAAAUGCCAAUCGAACACGGAGAUAGCUGGUUCUCUCCGAAAUAG